Molecule: long non-coding RNA, 6875 nt
Organism: Zea mays
Lineage: Eukaryota; Viridiplantae; Streptophyta; Magnoliopsida; Poales; Poaceae
Exons: 3
Source: RefSeq, a predicted model, not a curated record
UAGAGAGAUAUAAUUAUCAUGUCUAAUGCUAGCUGUUCGUCGGCUUGAGUACACGGAAGGACAUAUGUAAUACCCAAAUUGUAAGAGUAGUGAAAUGUCCAAGAAUUAAGAAAUAUAAAGGGGCUCAAUUGACCACUGGUGUAAUUAUUCUCAUUGUUGCAUAUUUCAAAUCAUGGAACCAUCCCUGGCUACCAAUAAAUUUACUAAAUAAAAGAAUGAUGCAUCAUGUUGGAGUUUAAUUGCUUGUGUAUUUAAUGAUAAAAAUAAUCCAAAUAAAAACACAUUAAUAAUGAGAAAGAGGUUUUGACCUAAUUUAAAACUUGGAAUUUGGAAAAGAGAGAAAAGAAAAGAAGGGAGUAUAAAAUAUAUAUACAAAAUAAAUAUUAUAAGUAAAAGUAAGACUAGUAUGUUCAAAUUGUACAGGAAAUUCGAGGAGAAUUUACCAAAGAACUUGAGUUUGAAAUUUGAACUCAAAUAGGAAGGGAAAAUAUAAAUAAGAAUAAAGGAAAGAGAGGAGCGUCGCAUGGGCUCAAUUUCCCUGAACAGGCCCACCUAACCCUAUCCCCUGCUCGCGCGAACACUGGCCCAACUCACGUCCCCCGCGUGCUCGGACGGCACACUGACACACGGGCCCCAUCGGUCUGUCACCGGGUAUCGCGGGCGGGACACUUGCCCAUGGGACCGGGCGGUCAGAGCCGUCGUCCCCGCAAGACUCGCGGACGAGCUCAACCGAACCCGCGAAACUCGCGCAGCGGGCGGCUCCUCCCCGUACAAAUUAAGUGCCCAGCCGGCAGGCGAGACCGAAGCACCCAGAACCCUAGCCACCCGGAGGUUCUCUGGUCGCAGGCACCGGCCCCAGUAGAGAGAAGCGCAGAAGAGAGAGAUAGAGUAAGGGAGAGUCGCCGUCGGGAAUUCACGUCGGUGGUGAUUCAAGUUCCAUGGACGUGAGUGAUGGUGAUCGAACGUCGCCGCUCCCUCGCUAAGCUCGGGCUUCCACAUCAAUCGGUGGCUGGCGCACGGGAUCUCCGACGAGCAAACCACUGUGGAUUCUGAGGUUCAGCUGGUAGAGAGUGCUGAGCAGGAGCUCGUGGAAGGCAAGUUGUGCCCUUGAUCACUUCUUUUACCCAUUCAUGUUCUUAUUAUUCAUAAUGAUCUGCAUAGGUUAAUUUUGAUGGGACCUAAUAGGAUACCCUAGAUUUUGACUAUCUUUAUACCUUGUUUCACCACUGGUUUUACUACAAAUUUUUUUUUGGGUAGUAUAUGCUAUUGCUUUAUGUGGCUUUGGGUAUAAAGAUAUUCAUCACUCAUUGUUAUACUUUUUAUUAUCUGUUUAUUAUUACUAUUCAUGAUAAGAUCAUUAUGUUAAUGGGAACAUGGAGAACCACCCGGGAAAACAGUGCUACCACAAGGGUUUAAUGGGACGCCCUUGGCUGAUUAACUAGGAAAGCUAGUGGAGGGCUGCCUUACCCGAAAGGGGCAAGGGCAGUAGGGGAGUGGUCAGUGUAGGGAGGUCCCUGGUUGAUUUUGCUGCGAUGGCAGUCAGUCAGGAACCCUGCAUUGGAACUUCCUAUAAACUGUAGCGGGUAGUCUGAAGCUAGUGGAACUUUGUAAAGGCCUCGUAGUGGUACCCUGCCUCGCUUCCUAGGUAGAGGUGUAUGGAGUCUGAUCAACUCCGUGGCAAACGGGUAACACGACUUGUGGGUAAAGAUGCGCAACCUCUGCAGAAUGUAAAACUGGUAUACUAGCCGUGCUCACGGUCAUGAGCGGCUCGGACACUCACAUGAUUAAAUUAUGGAACUUAAACUCAAUCUGUCAUUUCAUUGCAUCUGGGAUUAUUUCAUUAUUACUUUUAUUUAUUAUUUCUAAGGGUUGGUAUUUACUUGUACUUAGUAAUUGCUAAUAAAAUUUUGACCAACUUAAAAGCAAUGCUCAGCUUCAGCCUUUAUUUCAUUGAUCAGCCUUACACUUCAUGAACUCCCACCUUUGGUGAGUUCAUGCCACAUUAUUCCCCACAACUUGUUGAGCGAUGAACGUAUGUGAGCUCACUCUUGCUGUCUCACACCCCCCCCACAGGAGAAGAGCAGGUGGUUCAGGAGGAGCCACAAGGCGAGGAGUAUGAUCUGAUCUAGGUGGCGUUUCUCAGUCGACAUUUGCGCCGACGAUCCUUAGUUCGUUUUAUGUUUAUUCUUUUAUUUUGUAUUAAGUCUUCCGCUAUGUAAUAAAUACUCUGAUGUUUUAUGACAUUUAUCUCUAUACACUCUGUUAUUGUAUAUGUUGUCUUCUUGGCGCAUGUAUGAGAUGCACCCGGCUUUGUUCCUUAAAGCCCGGGUGUGACAGAAGUGGUAUCAGAGGAAAUGUUGACUGUAGGACGAAACCUAGAUAGAAAUGGAUAAAACCCUUACCUACUUAUCUUAUUCUGAAUCCUUCUAAACUUACCUUACUCUGAUUCUCUCUAUACUUAUCUUGAUCCUGUCUCAUCUUCUACUGUUCUACUCUGAUCAUUCUUAUCUUCUCUAUUCUAAGACAAGUCGGAUUUCACACCUUGGAAUCCCUACCCCUGUGACAUUUUUAAGAGAUAGGAAGCCUAAGACGAAAAUAAAACUAUUUUCUCUAUUUUAAAAUGUUGGUUGAUUGUUCUGAUGAUCAAUGUCUGAUUUGCUUCUUUGAUUGAUUGAAAUAGUAUAGACGGGCAUCUUAGCAUGUACCACCAUAAGGUAAUGAAUUAGCUUUAGUAGGUGACACACUUAGCUAAUAAAUCCCCCAAAGUAACAUGCUUCGUAAUUACUCGCCUCGUCUACAAUCCUUUCUUUCGUACCCUAUGUUCCUAACCCAGAUGGGCUAUCCCUAUAGUGUUAGAAGAGAGCACUAUAGACGUGAUCUUUGGUAUGUCAUGGUUAAUAAAGGCAAAGGCAGCAUAUACACGGUGCUAAGGGAACCGUAGAACUCGCCGGUUCCAAAGGACAAAGAUUUGAAGUUGAGUUUGUCAUUAAUCUCUUACCUAGGACUGCCCCUAUUUCUAAACGGCCAUACAGGAUGUCUGUAGAAGAACUAAAGGAACUUAAGAAGCAAUUAAUGGAAUUACAAGAGGCUGGGUACAUUCGUUCGAAUUCUUCACCUUGUGGAACACCAGUUCUAAUUGUACAGAAGAAAGAAGGAUCACAAGGGAUGUGCGUGGAUUAUAGAUCUCUCAACGAUGUCACUGUGAAGAACAAGUACUCGUUACCCGUAUUCAGGAUUUAUUUGAUCAGAUGAGAGGUGCAAGGGUAUUUUCGAAGAUUGAUCUCCGAUCGGGAUACCAUCAGAUGAGGAUUAGACCAUCGGAUAUUCCCAAGACGGCUUUCUCGACUCGAUAUGGAUUAUAUGAGUUUACUGUUAUGUCGUUUGGAUUGACCAAUGCACCGGCUUAUUUCAUGAAUUUGAUGAAUAAGGUGUUUAUGGAGUAUUUGGACAGAUUCGUCGUGGUAUUCAUCGACGAUAUUCUUAUCUAUUCUAAGAAUGAAAGUGAUCAUGAACAACAUCUAAGGUUGGUGCUACAGAAGUUGCGAGAUAAUCAACUCUAUGCUAAGUUCAGCAAGUGCGAGUUUUGGAUUGACAAGGAGUCAUUCCUUGGUCAUAUUAUUUCUAACGGAGGAAUAGCAGUGGAUCCUGCUAAAGUGAAGGAGAUAAUGGAGUGGAGAGUGCCCACUACAGUUACUGAGAUUCGUAGUUUCUUGGGACUAGCAGGAUAUUAUCGGAGAUUUAUUGAAGGAUUCUCUAAGAUUGCCAAGCCUAUGACAUCGCUUCUGGAGAAAGGAAAAGAAUUUAAGUGGGAUGAGAAAUAUCAUGAGAGCUUUGAUCAAUUGAAGGAGAGACUAAUGUCGCCACCAGUAUUGAUUAUGCCAGAUCUGCAGAAGGGGUUUGACAUUUAUUGUGAUGCAUGUGGCCAAGGACUUGGAUGUGUGCUUAUGCAAGAAGGACAUGUGAUCGCCUAUGCAUCUCGUCAGUUGCGGAAACAUGAAUUGAACUACCCCACUCAUGAUUUAGAGCUGGCAGCAAUUGUGCAUGCACUGAAGAUUUGGAGACACUACAUUAUGGGAACUAAGUGUCAAGUAUAUACGGAUCAUAAGAGUUUGAAGUAUAUAUUCACUCAGAAGGAUCUCAACCUUAGGCAACGCCGUUGGUUGGAGCUCAUUAAGGAUUAUGAUUUAGAGAUUCACUAUCACCCGGGCAAGGCGAAUUUGGUUGUAGAUGCCUUGAGUCGGAAGGAGCAUGUUCACUCCGCUUUUGUCGUCCAACUGCCCGAUGAAUUAGCAAAAGACUUUGAGAGACUCAAUUUGGGGAUUGUUACACAUACGGAAGGAGUGACUAUUGAAUUGGAACCUACCUUGGAGCAAGAGAUUCGCAAAGGUCAGGUUGGUGAUGCUAAGAUUCAAGAGAUUAAGGAUCUGAUUACGGAAGGUCGAGUUCCGGAAUUCACGGAGGAUGAGCAAGGUACUAUAUGGUUCAAAGAUCGGAUAUGUAUUCCAGAGAUUGAUAGCCUCCGUGAGACUAUAUUGAAAGAAGCCCAUGAUUCUGAUUAUUCUAUCCACCCUGGAAGCACUAAGAUGUAUCAAGAUUUGAAGCAAAAGUUUUGGUGGUAUGGACUGAAAAGAGAUGUGGCUGCUCAUGUGGCUAAGUGUGAUGUAUGUCAAAGAGUCAAGGCCGAACAUCAAAGACCCGCUGGACUAUUGCACCCAUUGAAGAUACCCGAGUGGAAAUGGGAAGAAAUUGGUAUGGAUUUUAUUGUUGGACUACCCCGCACUCCUGCUGGGUAUGACUCUAUUUGGGUAGUUGUAGACAGAUUGACAAAAGUGGCUCAUUUUAUACCUGUGAGGACUAAUUAUACGGGAGCCAAGCUAGCAGAAUUGUAUAUGACUCGGAUAGUUUGUCUACAUGGAGUGCCUAAGAAGAUCGUGUCUGAUCGAGGAUCACAGUUUACUUCUCGAUUUUGGAAGAAGUUGCAUGAGAGCUUGGAUACAAAGUUGAAUUUUAGUUCAGCCUACCAUCCCCAGACUGAUGGACAGACAGAGAGAACUAAUCAAGUGCUGGAAGAUAUGUUAAGAGCUUGUGCUCUCAAGCAUGGUGGCAGUUGGGAGAAGAGCUUACCCUAUGCUGAGUUUUCUUAUAAUAAUAGCUAUCAGGCCAGUUUGAAGAUGUCACCGUUUGAGGCUCUGUAUGGCAGAAAGUGCAGGACACCACUGUAUUGGGAUCAAACUGGAGAAAGACAGUUCUUUGGGCCUGAGCUCAUACAAGAGGCAGAUGAACAAGUUCGAAUAAUAAGAGAAAAUUUGAGAAUUGCACAAUCCAGGCAAAAGAGCUAUGCUGAUAAUAGGAGAAGAUUACUGGAGUUUAAGGAGGGUGAUCAUGUCUACUUGAAGGUGUCACCACUUCGUGGUAUGAGAAGAUUCAAAGUCAAGGGCAAAUUGUCCCCUCGCUAUAUUGGACCGUUCUGAGUUUUUAGGCAAGUUGGAGAGAUGGCCUAUCAACUCGAGCUACCUGAUAAUCUAUCUGAUGUGCGCAAUGUAUUCCAUAUGUCUCAACUUAAGAAGUGUCUCUGUGUCCCUGAGGAACAGUUAACAAUGGAAGAGCUCAGUGUUGAGGGUAAUUUGACUUACACGGAGUAUCCUAUCAAGAUUCUUGAUACAUUGACUCGAGUUAUAAGGAAUAAAGUGAUAAAGAUGUGCAAAGUUCAAUGGAGUCACCAUGGUGAAGAUGAAGCCACUUGGGAAAGAGAAGAAGAGCUUCGCAUAGAUUUUCCCCAUCUUUUCCCUAGAUCUUCUUAAAUCUCGAGGACGAGAUUCUUUCUAAGGGGGGUAGGAUUUGUAAUACCCAAAUUGUAAGAGUAGUGAAAUGUCCAAGAAUUAAGAAAUAUAAAGGGGCUCAAUUGACCACUGGUGUAAUUAUUCUCAUUGUUGCAUAUUUCAAAUCAUGGAACCAUCCCUGGCUACCAAUAAAUUUACUAAAUAAAAGAAUGAUGCAUCAUGUUGGAGUUUAAUUGCUUGUGCAUUUAAUGAUAAAAAUAAUCCAAAUAAAAACACAUUAAUAAUGAGAAAGAGGUUUUGACCUAAUUUAAAACUUGGAAUUUGGAAAAGAGAGAAAAGAAAAGAAGGGAGUAUAAAAUAUAUAUACAAAAUAAAUAUUAUAAGUAAAAGUAAGACUAGUAUGUUCAAAUUGUACAGGAAAUUCGAGGAGAAUUUACCAAAGAACUUGAGUUUGAAAUUUGAACUCAAAUAGGAAGGGAAAAUAUAAAUAAGAAUAAAGGAAAGAGAGGAGCGUCGCAUGGGCUCAAUUUCCCUGAACAGGCCCACCUAACCCUAUCCCCUGCUCGCGCGAACACUGGCCCAACUCACGUCCCCCGCGUGCUCGGACGGCACACUGACACACGGGCCCCAUCGGUCUGUCACCGGGUAUCGCGGGCGGGACACUUGCCCAUGGGACCGGGCGGUCAGAGCCGUCGUCCCCGCAAGACUCGCGGACGAGCUCAACCGAACCCGCGAAACUCGCGCAGCGGGCGGCUCCUCCCCGUACAAAUUAAGUGCCCAGCCGGCAGGCGAGACCGAAGCACCCAGAACCCUAGCCACCCGGAGGUUCUCUGGUCGCAGGCACCGGCCCCAGUAGAGAGAAGCGCAGAAGAGAGAGAUAGAGUAAGGGAGAGUCGCCGUCGGGAAUUCACGUCGGUGGUGAUUCAAGUUCCAUGGACGUGAGUGAUGGUGAUCGAACGUCGCCGCUCCCUCGCUAAGCUCGGGCUUCCACAUCAAUCGGUGGCUGGCGCACGGGAUCUCCGACGAGCAAACCACUGUGGAUUCUGAGGUUCAGCUGGUAGAGAGUGCUGAGCAGGAGCUCGUGGAAGGCAAGUU